AACUGGGUGUAAAGGGCACGCAGGCGGUGACUUAAGUGAGGUGUGAAAGCCCCGGGCUUAACCUGGGAAUUGCAUUUCAUACUGGGUCGCUAGAGUACUUUAGGGAGGGGUAGAAUUCCACGUGUAGCGGUGAAAUGCGUAGAGAUGUGGAGGAAUACCGAAGGCGAAGGCAGCCCCUUGGGAAUGUACUGACGCUCAUGUGCGAAAGCGUGGGGAGCAAACAGGAUUAGAUACCCUGGUAGUCCACGCUGUAAACGAUGUCGAUUUGGGGGUUGAACUUUAAGUUUGGCGCCCGUAGCUAACGUGAUAAAUCGACCGCCUGGGGAGUACGGCCGCAAGGUUAAAACUCAAAUGAAUUGACGGGGGCCCGCACAAGCGGUGGAGCAUGUGGUUUAAUUCGAUGCAACGCGAAGAACCUUACCUACUCUUGACAUCCAGAGAACAUUCCAGAGAUGGAUUGGUGCCUUCGGGAACUCUGAGACAGGUGCUGCAUGGCUGUCGUCAGCUCGUGUCGUGAGAAG
RNAcentral lists this ribosomal RNA (521 nucleotides) under uncultured bacterium. RNAcentral describes it as "bacterial SSU rRNA". It matches the Rfam family "Bacterial small subunit ribosomal RNA", at positions 552 to 1074 of the family's 1533-position model. The record is from RNAcentral.